Molecule: ribosomal RNA, 217 nt
Filed under: uncultured bacterium
Lineage: Bacteria
Description: partial 16S ribosomal RNA
Rfam family: Bacterial small subunit ribosomal RNA
Source: RNAcentral
CGUGGAUAACCUGCCUCACACAGGGGAUAACAGUUAGAAAUGACUGCUAAUACCGCAUAAGCGCACGGCAUCGCAUGAUGCAGUGUGAAAAGCUCCGGUGGUGUGAGAUGGAUCCGCGUCUGAUUAGGUAGUUGGUGGGGUAACGGCCCACCGAGCCGACGAUCAGUAGCCGACCUGAGAGGGUGACCGGCCACAUUGGGACUGAGACACGGCCCAA